CGUGGAGGACGAGGAGGAGGC
RNAcentral lists this microRNA (21 nucleotides) under Homo sapiens (human). RNAcentral's name for it is "hsa-miR-7847-3p". Lineage: Eukaryota; Metazoa; Chordata; Mammalia; Primates; Hominidae. The record is from miRBase by way of RNAcentral.